This 542-nucleotide long non-coding RNA is filed under the name Cucumis sativus (cucumber). Its description in RNAcentral is "long non-coding RNA (CSAT_LNC000700)". Lineage: Eukaryota; Viridiplantae; Streptophyta; Magnoliopsida; Cucurbitales; Cucurbitaceae. The record is from RNAcentral.
UCAACACAAUAGUUGAAGUGAUAUUGCUUGAAGGAUACGAGGUGAGAAUUUGAAUAUUUAACCUAUUGCUUGAAGCAUACGUCACGCACCGUAACCUUCUAACAUGUAUGAAAUAGUAGUGUUCGCACGAGAUUUCCGGAGAAAUUUAAUUCGUGGACUUAAACUUGGGUUGAUGUUGUAUUUUUGUUGAUUUGAUGCGAUGCGGUUCAAUCUCUAGAAUUUGAUCCUCUGAUUCUCUCUCAACUGUAUGUCUACGCUUGAUUUGGAGGAAGCGGAGCACGUGAUGUUCUUGAAGUUUGUUGAACGUCUACGCUUGAUUUGGAGAAGCGGAGCACGUGAUGUUCUUCAAGUUGGUUGAAUGCUUACGCUUGAUUUGAGGAAGCGGAGCACGUGAUGUUCUUGAAGUUGGAGUCUUGGAAGAAAGUUUGUAUCUUCAAAACAGCUUUAAUCUUCGAGGGUGGUCAACUUCAGAAGUUAGGGAGUCUUCUAGCUCUUGGAAGAAUUCUCUUUAGAUCUUCUAGAGUCAAAAUUUUCCAACCCCU